Molecule: ribosomal RNA, 450 nt
Filed under: Triticum aestivum (bread wheat)
Lineage: Eukaryota; Viridiplantae; Streptophyta; Magnoliopsida; Poales; Poaceae
Description: partial small subunit ribosomal RNA
Source: RNAcentral
AUGAGGUUGCGGUCGACGCUGAGCUUGUUGAGGGUGAGCGUGCCCGUCUUGUCGCUGCAGAGCACGUCCAUGCCGGCCAUCUCCUCGAUGGCCGUCAUGCGCUUGGUGAUGGCGCCCUGCUUCGACAGCCGAUGUGAGCCGAUGGCCAUGGUGACCGACAGCACAGUGGGCAUCGCGAUCGGGAUGCCGCCGAUGAGGAGCACAAGGAGGUUGUCGAUGCCGUCGCGGUACCGGCGGUGCUGGAUGAAGUACAUGACGAUGAUCUCGACGAUCAUGCCGAUGGCGAUGGCGCCAAUGCAGAAGUUACCAAUGGCCCGGAGCACCUUCUGGAAGUGGCCGACCUGGUUGGUGCUGUCCACGAGGUGUGCCGCCUUGCCGAAGAAGGUGUGCACGCCGGUGGCGAUGACGACGGCCUCGAUCUCGCCCUGCUUGCACGUGGACCCCGAGUAG